Molecule: ribosomal RNA, 292 nt
Filed under: uncultured bacterium
Lineage: Bacteria
Description: partial 16S ribosomal RNA
Rfam family: Bacterial small subunit ribosomal RNA
Source: RNAcentral
GUGCCAGCAGCCGCGGUAAUACAGAGGGUGCGAGCGUUGUCCGGAAUUACUGGGCGUAAAGGGCGCGUAGGCGGCUUGAUAAGUAGGAGGUGAAAUUCCAUGGCUCAACCAUGGAUCGGCCUUCUAGACUGUCAGGCUUGAGCACGGUAGAGGCAGAUGGAAUUCCCGGUGUAGCGGUGGAAUGCGUAGAGAUCGGGAAGAACACCAGUGGCGAAGGCGGUCUGCUGGGCCGUUGCUGACGCUGAGGCGCGACAGCGUGGGGAGCAAACAGGAUUAGAAACCCCCGUAGUCC